UUUCUUUAUUUUUUGUAACCUACAAUAAAUAAAGCAGGCUUCCAGUCAAUGGAAAAAUGGUUUCUCCCCACCGGCGAUUGUUGUUGUUUACGAUUUUCUAUCAGUUCUCACCACACAACGACGUCUCAUCUUUGCUCCUUGAAUGUCGAUAUGUAAUGGUAAGGAGUUAUUGAAACUUACUACGUGUAAAAAAGACUAGAAAUUGAAUGUUUAUUUUUCAUUGAAUGUUUACAUAAAGUUGCACUGGGUGCCUUUAAUAUGUUACGUGUCAAUUCCAUCAGAGAAAGUCUGUAAUUUCCGUCCCUUUUUUGCUCCAUAACACAACCAAAAGGACACCACAUCGCAGGCCUAUCUUACGAUUGGAACGACCCCGUAGCGCGUGGCGAUGAGAAAGCUGCGCAGGUCCCCGUGCUCCAGGAAGGGGAGGAUGACCAGCGGCACGGAGAGCGAGGAGUUCUCCUCUCUCUCCAGGGCGACGCCUAGAGGAUACACACAGACAGAACGCACGCACACACGCAAACACACA
Gadus macrocephalus (Pacific cod) is the source of this 526-nucleotide long non-coding RNA. RefSeq lists it as uncharacterized. NCBI's taxonomy places the organism in Eukaryota, Metazoa, Chordata, Actinopteri, Gadiformes, Gadidae. The record is from RefSeq and is a predicted model, not a curated record. The transcript has 2 exons.